RNAcentral lists this ribosomal RNA (509 nucleotides) under uncultured bacterium. Its description in RNAcentral is "bacterial SSU rRNA". It matches the Rfam family "Bacterial small subunit ribosomal RNA", at positions 33 to 541 of the family's 1533-position model. The record is from RNAcentral.
GACGAACGCUGGCGGCGUGCUUAACACAUGCAAGUCGAACGGACGAGUGAGAUAAGUUUACUUAACUCACAAGUUAGUGGCGGACGGGUGAGUAACACGUGGAUAAUCUACCUGCAACACCGGGAUAACGCUGUGAAAACGGUGCUAAUACCGGAUACGUUCCCUUGUGCGCAUGUAUGAGGGAAGAAAGCUCAGGCGGUUGCAGAUGAGUCCGCGGCUGAUUAGCUAGUUGGUGAGGUAAAGGCUCACCAAGGCGAUGAUCAGUAGCCGGCCUGAGAGGGUGAACGGCCACACUGGGACUGAGACACGGCCCAGACUCCUACGGGAGGCAGCAGUGGGGAAUCUUCCGCAAUGGACGAAAGUCUGACGGAGCAACGCCGCGUGGGUGAAGAAGGCCUCGGUUGUAAGACCUGUCUUAUGGGAAGAAAAAUAGAACGGUACCAUAGGAAUAAAGACACCGGCUAACUACCGUCGCCGAGCCGCCGCCGGUAACGUAACCAGACAGCGUA